CGCUCGGCUAGGGAUGUGUAAGAUGGCACACAGCCACACCCGAAAACAGGUUGGAGAUCACUCACGCUGGGCUGGUGGGAUGUAAGAUGGCACAGCCGCCCGGAAACAGGUUGGCGGCCCACUCACCACAGGAUGUAAGAUGGUACAGCCGCCUCGAAAACAGGCUGGAGAUCACUCAAACAGGUUGGAGAUCACUCACGCCGGGCUGGUGGGAUGUAAGACGGCACAGCCGCCCGGAAAACAGGUUGGAGAUCACUCACGCGGGGCUGGUGGGAUGUAAGAUGGCACAGCCGCCCGGAAAACAGGUUGGAGAUCACUCAAACAGGUUGGAGAUCACUCACGCCAGGCUGGUGCGAUGUAAGAUGGCACAGCCGCCCGGGAAACAGGUUGGCAUCACCACGCUUGGCUGGUGGAUGUAAGAUGGCACAGCCGCCUGAAACAGCUGGAGAUC
This 451-nucleotide long non-coding RNA is filed under the name Papio anubis (olive baboon). RNAcentral describes it as "lncRNA (ENSPANG00000038185.1)". The record is from RNAcentral. Lineage: Eukaryota; Metazoa; Chordata; Mammalia; Primates; Cercopithecidae.